UAUAUACUCCCUUCGUCUGAAAAUAAUUGUCGCACAAAUUUAUAAAUUUAUAAAAAUGAAUGUAUCUAAACUAAAAUAUAUCUAGAUACAUUCAUUCCUAUGACAAGUAUUUCUGGACGGAGGGAGUACAUU
This 132-nucleotide microRNA precursor is filed under the name Hordeum vulgare. RNAcentral's name for it is "microRNA MIR1122". It matches the Rfam family "MIR1120/MIR1122 microRNA precursor family". The record is from RNAcentral. Lineage: Eukaryota; Viridiplantae; Streptophyta; Magnoliopsida; Poales; Poaceae.